This 464-nucleotide ribosomal RNA is filed under the name uncultured bacterium. RNAcentral's name for it is "partial 16S ribosomal RNA". It matches the Rfam family "Bacterial small subunit ribosomal RNA", at positions 339 to 795 of the family's 1533-position model. The record is from RNAcentral.
CUACGGGUUGCAGCAGUCGAGAAUAGUCUACAAUGGGGGAAACCCUGAUAGUGCGACGCCGCGUGGAUGAAGAAGCAUUUCGGUGCGUAAAGUCCUUUUCUUUGUGAGCAAUGUCUUGUAGGUUAACAGCCUGCAGGGAGAGAUAUUAGCAGAGGAAUAAGCUCGCGGCUAACUCCGUGCCAGCAGCCGCGGUAACACGGGGGGAGCGAGCGUUGUCCGGAAUUACUAGGCGUAAAGGGCAAGUAGGCGGAAUGGUCAGUCAGAUGUUAAAGGCACCGGCUCAACCGGUGUAAGGCAUUUGAUGCCAUUCUAGAGUAAGGUGGGGGAAGACAGAAUUCCUGGUGUAGCGGUGGAAUGCGCAGAUAUCAGGAAGAAUACCAGUGGCGAAGGCGGUCUUCUAUACCAUUACUGACGCUCAAUUGCGAAGGUGUGGGUAUCGAACAGGAUUAGAUACCCUUGUAGUC